Molecule: ribosomal RNA, 450 nt
Filed under: uncultured bacterium
Lineage: Bacteria
Description: partial 16S ribosomal RNA
Rfam family: Bacterial small subunit ribosomal RNA
Source: RNAcentral
CCUACGGGGGGCUGCAGUGAGGAAUAUUGGGCAAUGCCCGCAAGGGUGACCCAGCAACGCCGCGUGGAGGAUGAAGGCCGUAAGGUUGUAAACUCCUGUUAGAGGAGAAGAAUAGUACCGAUUGGAUCGGUAUUUGACUGUACCCUCAGAGAAAGCCCCGGCUAACUACGUGCCCGCAGCCGCGGUAAUACGUAGGGGGCAAGCUUUAUCCGGAUUUACUGGGUGGAAGGCGGGCUCGCAAGGCAGAGCAGAAAUCCUACAGCUUAACUGUAGAACGGCAUUUGAUACUGUUAUUCUUGAGUUCUGGAGAGAGAGACGGAAUUCCAGGUGUAGUGGUGAAAUACGUAGAUAUCUGGAAGAACACCAGUUGCGAAGGCGGUCUCUUGGUCCGAUACUGACGCUGAGGCGCGAAAGCGUGGGGAGCAAACAGGAUUAGAUACCCGGGUAGUC